RNAcentral lists this ribosomal RNA (189 nucleotides) under uncultured bacterium. RNAcentral's name for it is "partial 16S ribosomal RNA". It matches the Rfam family "Bacterial small subunit ribosomal RNA", at positions 338 to 524 of the family's 1533-position model. The record is from RNAcentral.
CCUACGGGAGGCAGCAGUAAGGAAUAUUGGUCAAUGGGCGGGAGCCUGAACCAGCCAUGCCGCGUGGAGGAUGACGGCCCUCUGGGUUGUAAACUUCUUUUAUCUGGGACGAAAAACGCCCUUUCUAGGGAACUUGACGGUACCAGGUGAAUAAGCACCGGCUAACUCCGUGCCAGCAGCCGCGGUAAU